This 228-nucleotide ribosomal RNA is filed under the name uncultured bacterium. Its description in RNAcentral is "partial 16S ribosomal RNA". It matches the Rfam family "Bacterial small subunit ribosomal RNA", at positions 940 to 1169 of the family's 1533-position model. The record is from RNAcentral.
UGUGGAUUAUUCGAUGCAACGCGAAGAACCUUACCUGGGCUUGACAUACACCAGAUAGGGCCAGAGAUGGUCUUUCCCUUUGUGGUUGGUGUACAGGUGGUGCAUGGUUGUCGUCAGCUCGUGUCGUGAGGUGUUGGGUUAAGUCCCGCAACGAGCGCAACCCUUGUCUUAUGUUGCCAGCACGUUAUGGUGGGGACUCGUGAGAGACUGCCGGGGUCAACUCGGAGG